Molecule: unclassified non-coding RNA, 2250 nt
Filed under: Diabrotica virgifera virgifera (western corn rootworm)
Lineage: Eukaryota; Metazoa; Arthropoda; Insecta; Coleoptera; Chrysomelidae
Description: zinc finger protein 664-like
Source: RNAcentral
GAUUUGUUGUUUGUUUACAUUUUUUAUUAUGAAUUUGUUUUAUUUUUGUUGAGUGAUUUCAAUUCUUUGGUUUAAAUUUAUUGGAAUAUAUAUAAAACUAAAAUAAAAAAAUCACGUCACGAAUCAAAUGGAAGUCAAACAAGAAAUUAGCGAAGAAACGUGUAAAAUAGAAAUAGAGUAUAAUGACAUGGAUGACUUUAAAUGUGAAAUACAGGAGGAAUCCAAUGAGCAAACUACUCAUGACACAUAUGAUGUUGGAGACUUAAAGAAAUGCCCCAUAAAAACUGAAAUCGAACAUGGAAAUAAACUCAACCCAUUUGAAGAAAACCAAAAAACUGAAAACGGUCAUGUUCACGAUGAAAGCAAGAUAGAAAUUAUUGAGAAACUCAUUGGAGAUUUGUCUUACGAAGGAAAUGAUAUGAAUCGACAUAAUGAAGGAAAAACAUUAAAUAAAAAUAUGCAAGUUGUGACUGGAAAAAUACCUUAUAAAUGUGACACAUGUUUUAUGCAAUUUAGUCGAGGAGGUGAUUUGAAAAAACAUUUGAGAGUGCACACUGGAGAAAAACCUUACAAGUGUGAGAUUUGUUUUAAGCAAUUUAGUCAAGCAGGUGAUUUGACAAGACAUUUGAGAGUGCACACUGGAGAAAAACCUUAUCAGUGUGAAAUUUGUUUUAAGCGAUUUAGUAAUAGAAGUAAUUUGAAAAGACAUUUCACAUUGCAUACCGGGGAAAAACCUUACAAGUGUGAGAUUUGUUUUAAGCAAUUUAGUGAUGCAAGUAGUUUUAAAACACAUUUGAAAGUGCACACUAGCGAAAAAUCUUACAAGUGUGAGAUCUGUUUUAAGCAAUUUAGUGAUGCUAGUAGUUUGAAAAGACAUUUCAGAUUCCACACUGGGCCAAAACGUUACAAGUGUAAAAUUUGUUUUAAGCGAUUUAUUCAAGCAGAUAAUUUGAAAAGACAUUUGAGAGUGCACACUGGCGAAAAACCUUACAAGUGUGAAAUUUGUUUUAAGCGAUUUAGUGAUGCAAGUUAUUUGAAAAUACAUUUGAGAGUGCACACUGGCGAAAAACCUUACAAGUGUGAAAUUUGUUUUAAGCAAUUUUGUCAAGCAUGUGAUUUGAAAACACAUUUAAGAGUGCACACUGCAGAAAAACCAUAUAAGUGUGAAAUUUGUUCUAAGCAAUUUAGACAAUCAAGAACUUUGAAAAGUCAUUUGAGAAUACACACUGGAGAGAUGCCUUACAAGUGUACAAUUUGUUUUAAACAAUUUAGAGAAGCACGAACUUUUAAAAUGCAUUUAAGGCUACACACUGGAGAGAAGCCGUAUAAGUGUGAAAUUUGUUUUAAGCGAUUUAGUGCAGCAUAUAGUUUAAAAAGACAUUUGAGAGUGCACACUGGAGAAAAACCUUACAAGUGCGAAAUUUGUUUUAGGCGAUUUAGUGAAUCAGGACAUUUGAAAAAACAUUCAAAAAGGCACACUGGAGAAAAGCCAUAGAAGUGUCAAAUUUGUUUUAAGCGAUUUAGGCCCGGUACUUUGUCUCGAUUAACAGCCCGUUAGUUAACGGAGGUUUAAUCGGGACCUUUUUAGGGUCUCUUGCGUUGUAAUAAUUGCAAUUACAAGUAUUAUUAUAAUUAUAAAUAAGUAUAAAUUAUAAUAAUAAUUAUAAUUGCAUUUAUUACAACGCAAGUGACCCUAAAGAGGUCCCGAUUAAACCUCCGUUAACGAACGGGCUGUUAAUCGAGACAUAAAGUACCGGGCCUUAGUGCAGCAGGUAGUGCAGGCAGGCAGUAAAAAGACAUUUGAGAGUGCACACUGGAGAAAAACCUUACAAGUGUAAAAUUUGUUUUAAGUGAUUUAGUCAAGCAGGAAAUUUAAAAAGUCAUUUCAGAACACACACUUCAGAAAAACCUUACAAGUGUGAGAUCGGCUUUAAGCAAUUUAUUCAAGCAGUUUAUUUGAAAAAACAUUCGAGAGUGCACACUGGAGAAAAACCUUACAAGUGUGAGAUUUGUUUUAAGCAAUUUAGUGAUGCAAGUAGUUUGAAAAGACAUAUUUGAGAACACACACUGCAGGAAAACCUUACAAGUGUGAGAUUUGUUUUAAGCAAUUUAGUCAAGCAGGGCAUUUAAAAUGUCAUUUGAGAACACACACUGCAGAAAAACCUUACAAGUGUGAGAUCUGUUUUAAACAGUUUAGUCAAGCAAGUGCUUUGAAAACACAUUUGAGAGUGCACACUGGAGAAAAACCUU